AGGCCGGGCUCCGCCUCCGGAAGGCGGGCGGGGAGGGUAGUUGCUGGGGGUCCCUAGGGCGGGCCCCAGGACCUCUAGGAAAUGCCGGGGGCUGUUUGCUACGGCUUCAUCCCGGAGCUCCUGCUCGGGGUUGCCGGCUGCCCCUGCUGGCGUCCCUCUUCCCUUCCUUUGCGUAAGCGGCAACUCCUCCAGGAAGCCAGUGGAAGGACCGGAUUUCCUCUCCACGUAGGGUAGUAGAUCGCAUAGCCCAGCCGGAUCGCCCAGCAGGAGUGCAGGGCGCGCGUCGGGGUUUCUCCGGCUUGUGGGUGUGCGGUUCGAAACCUUAGCUGGGGUGGGGGAAGGGAUGUCUUUAACUUUCUGUCUACCCUCCCCCUCUUCCCUCUCUCAGCCUAGAGGCAGGGGAUGCUGCGGGAUCAGACUGGGUGCACCGAGGCGGAGGGCCAUGCCGGGCUUCGCCCUUCCUGGGUUUCCCGGAGUCCGUUCCGGAGAAACCCUGGCAUUGCCAGAACUGGGUCCCCGCACUCACUCCUCCAUAAUUCGCGGCGGAUCAGCGGGAGGAGGGCAGAGGGCGGGGGCGAGGCAGCUUCCCGGCGGGUAUGUCGCAAAGUGUGCGGGGUGUGGCGCAAAGUGCGCGGACCCGGGUCCUGGACCGAAGAUUUAGCCCAGGGUUUCGUGUGUGUUGCUCCCUGUUGCUUUCUACGGGGUCUGCGCUGGCCUCCUCCUCGGGCGACUGGGCCCUGAGGCAACAGCGCCUUCUCGAGCCCCGAGGAUUGACCGCCCCGAGCCUGCCUGGAGCAGGGCCUCUCUCCAGCGCGGUGUGAUGAAACACCAGCUGCUGUGAAGAUAUACCCUUAGAAACGAACCGUCUGUUAAUAUGCUUAUGAAAACAGGGGCUCAGAGAGGAUGUACUUUUCUCAAGACCGCACAGCUGGAAAAAAACCAUUCUUCCAGGAGAGGCUCCUCCAAGCAAACUUCCCCUUACAUCUCUUACCAGAACUGGGUCACAUGCUCCCAUCUAAAACAACCACUGGCCAUUAGAAAUGGUGUUACCAUGCCUGUCUUGGACCAAUCACAUUUGAUCCUCUGGGGAUAGAGACAUGUUGCCACCUGAACAACUGUGGGGUGCUGUACUCCUGGCAAGCAGGGAGAAUGGCUGUGGCUAGGCAACUGACAGCAUCUACCACAAAUAUGUUACUCAGAAGAAGAAUCGAGGAUGGCCAUAAUUUUUAUUUAAAGAUUUCUAUUUUACAGAGGCAUAUCUGAUUAAGGGACAUUUAAACUUCCCUGUUAAACUUAUCAAGACAAAAAGACAAGGCAUCUUGCCACAUUUCUUAAAUAUUCUCUGCAGUCUCUCUUGACCUUUUCCCAGCUGUGCUGUAAACAUAAAGAUAAUAACAUAUCUGAAUAACAUUUUAUGGUGCACAGAUAAUUUUCACAUACAUUAUCCAUUUGACCCUCACCAUAACUGUGUGGGGUAGGUAAGGUACGAUUGUACUUUUCAUUAAUUUUUUUUUUUUGAGACAGAGUCUCGUUCUGUCACCCAGGCUAGAGUGCAGUGGUGCGAUCUGGGCUCACUGCAACCUCCACCUCCCAGGUUCAAGUGAUUCUCCUGCCUCAGCCUCCAAGUAGCUGGGAUUACAGGCAAGUGCCACCAUGCCUGGCUAGUUUUUGUAUUUUUUUAGUAGAGACGGGGUUUCACCAUGUUGGACAGGCUGGUCUAGAACUCCUGACCUCAGGUGAUCCACGUGCCUCGGCCUCCCAAAGUGCUGGGGUUACAGGCAUGAGCCACUGCUCCUGGCCACUUUUCAUUAAUUUUUAUUGGACUUAGGAUUAGAAGGAUGAGCAAAUCCUACUACUUAGUGCGUGGAAUACUGGCAUCUAUUGUUUUUGCUUGGCUCCUCUCUCGUUUUAAUAAUUAACUAAUCGAUCCAUUCUCUUUUAUUGCCAUCUCCCACUCACACUUUUUCCUCCACAUAGGCAAUCAUUCUAAAUAUGUCCAAUGUUUAUCUUAUUUGUAUGCGUAUUUAUAAAGUGAAUAUUUUGUUUAGUGUGUAUGCAGUUUCGUUUGCAUAAAUUGUAAUAUUCUGUGAAUCUCAUUCUGGUUUGUACUUUUUUCAUUCUGCUCUGUUUUUAGAAGUGAUCCAUGUUGCUAUGUGAUUCUACUCCAUUGCCUUUAAAUGCUGCAUAAUACUCCA
This is a long non-coding RNA of Pan troglodytes (chimpanzee), 2195 nucleotides long. RefSeq lists it as uncharacterized. The transcript has 4 exons. The record is from RefSeq and is a predicted model, not a curated record. NCBI's taxonomy places the organism in Eukaryota, Metazoa, Chordata, Mammalia, Primates, Hominidae.